UACACUCCUACGGGAGGCAGCAGUAGGGAAUCUUCCACAAUGGGUGCAAACCUGAUGGAGCAAUGCCGCGUGAGUGAAGAAGGUCUUCGGAUCGUAAAGCUCUGUUGUUAGAGAAGAACACGUGCUAGGUAACUACUAGCGCCUUGACGGCAUCUAACCAGAAAGUCACGGCUAACUACGUGCCAGCAGCCGCGGUAAUACGUAGGUGACAAGCGUUGUCCGGAUUUAUUGGGCGUAAAGGGAGCGCAGGCGGUCUGUUUAGUCUAAUGUGAAAGCCCACGGCUUAACCGUGGAACGGCAUUGGAAACUGACAGACUUGAAUGUAGAAGAGGAAAAUGGAAUUCCAAGUGUAGCGGUGGAAUGCGUAGAUAUUUGGAGGAACACCAGUGGCGGAGGCGAUUUUCUGGUCUAACAUUGACGCUGAGGCUCGAAAGCGUGGGGAGCGAACAGGAUUAGAAACCCGAGUAGUCCCA
RNAcentral lists this ribosomal RNA (473 nucleotides) under uncultured organism. Its description in RNAcentral is "partial 16S ribosomal RNA". It matches the Rfam family "Bacterial small subunit ribosomal RNA", at positions 332 to 797 of the family's 1533-position model. The record is from RNAcentral.